GAAUUCACUAGUGAUUCAGGCCUAACACAUGCAAGUCGAGCGGUAGAGAGAAGCUUGCUUCUCUUGAGAGCGGCGGACGGGUGAGUAAUGCCUAGGAAUCUGCCUGGUAGUGGGGGAUAACGUUCGGAAACGGACGCUAAUACCGCAUACGUCCUACGGGAGAAAGCAGGGGACCUUCGGGCCUUGCGCUAUCAGAUGAGCCUAGGUCGGAUUAGCUAGUUGGUGAGGUAAUGGCUCACCAAGGCUACGAUCCGUAACUGGUCUGAGAGGAUGAUCAGUCACACUGGAACUGAGACACGGUCCAGACUCCUACGGGAGGCAGCAGUGGGGAAUAUUGGACAAUGGGCGAAAGCCUGAUCCAGCCAUGCCGCGUGUGUGAAGAAGGUCUUCGGAUUGUAAAGCAAUGUAAGUUGGGAGGAAGGGCAUUAACCUAAUACGUUAGUGUUUGACGUACCGACAGAAU
RNAcentral lists this ribosomal RNA (463 nucleotides) under uncultured bacterium. Its description in RNAcentral is "bacterial SSU rRNA". It matches the Rfam family "Bacterial small subunit ribosomal RNA", at positions 34 to 487 of the family's 1533-position model. The record is from RNAcentral.